UACGGAAGGCAGCAGUGGGGAAUAUUGCACAAUGGGCGCAAGCCUGAUGCAGCCAUGCCGCGUGUAUGAAGAAGGCCUUCGGGUUGUAAAGUACUUUCAGUCGUGAGGAAGGUGUUAAGGUUAAUAACCUUAGCAAUUGACGUUAGCGACAGAAGAAGCACCGGCUAACUCCGUGCCAGCAGCCGCGGUAAUACGGAGGGUGCGAGCGUUAAUCGGAAUUACUGGGCGUAAAGGGCACGCAGGCGGUUAAUUAAGUUGGAUGUGAAAUCCCCGGGCUUAACCUGGGAAUGGCAUUCAAGACUGGUUAGCUAGAGUCUUGUAGAGGGGGUUAGAAUUCCAUGUGUAGCGGUGAAAUGCGUAGAGAUGUGGAGGAAUACCGGUGGCGAGGGCGGCCCCUGGACAAAGGACUGACGCUCAUGUGCGAAAGCGUGGGGAGCAAACGAGGGAUUAGAUACC
RNAcentral lists this ribosomal RNA (456 nucleotides) under uncultured bacterium. RNAcentral's name for it is "bacterial SSU rRNA". It matches the Rfam family "Bacterial small subunit ribosomal RNA", at positions 340 to 786 of the family's 1533-position model. The record is from RNAcentral.